GACGAACGCUGGCGGCGUGCCUAAUACAUGCAAGUUGAGCGAUGAAGAUUGGUGCUUGCCCCAAUUUGAAGAGCAGCGAACGGGUGAGUAACGCGUGGGGAAUCUGCCUUUGAGCGGGGGACAACAUUUGGAAACGAAUGCUAAUACCGCAUAACAACUUUAAACAUAAGUUUUAAGUUUGAAAGAUGCAAUUGCAUCACUCAAAGAUGAUCCCGCGUUGUAUUAGCUAGUUGGUGAGGUAAAGGCUCACCAAGGCGAUGAUACAUAGCCGACCUGAGAGGGUGAUCGGCCACAUUGGGACUGAGACACGGCCCAAACUGCUACGGGAGGCAGCAGUAGGGAAUCUUCGGCAAUGGACGAAAGUCUGACCGAGCAACGCCGCGUGAGUGAAGAAGGUUUUCGGAUCGUAAAACUCUGUUGGUAGAGAAGAACGUUGGUGAGAGUGGAAAGCUCAUCAAGUGACGGUAACUACCCAGAAAGGGACGGCCAACUACGUG
RNAcentral lists this ribosomal RNA (497 nucleotides) under uncultured bacterium. Its description in RNAcentral is "partial 16S ribosomal RNA". It matches the Rfam family "Bacterial small subunit ribosomal RNA", at positions 28 to 507 of the family's 1533-position model. The record is from RNAcentral.